RNAcentral lists this small nuclear RNA (103 nucleotides) under Microcebus murinus (gray mouse lemur). Lineage: Eukaryota; Metazoa; Chordata; Mammalia; Primates; Cheirogaleidae. The record is from RNAcentral.
UCCUAACAAGCUAUAGACGGGUAUAAAAACUGGAACUAUACAGAGAUUAGCAUGGCCCCUCUUUGGGGAUGACAUGCACGUUCGUGAAGCAUUCCAUUAAAAA